Molecule: non-coding RNA, 590 nt
Organism: Pelobates cultripes (western spadefoot toad)
Lineage: Eukaryota; Metazoa; Chordata; Amphibia; Anura; Pelobatidae
Source: the annotation of a GenBank genome assembly
AUAAAGGUCCUAUCCCAUCGGAUGCCAUGGGCAUUGAAUGGGACACAUUAAAAUGUGUAAUGGGGGUGUACAGAUCAAGCAGGUGGGGGGCAAUUAAAUAAAAUAGGGUGAUUUCCUUAUGUCUGACCAGGGGUCAUAAUAGUGAGUGGGCAAACCAAUACCUGUAAAAUAAAAAUGAGGUUUGCCCUUUUUUGAAAUUCUUCUUUUUUUCACCCCCAAAAAAGGCCAAAUGAAAAUACAUGUAUUCCGAAGCAAUUAAUAAUAAUGAAAAAGAUAUGCCAAAAGUUGUGACACAAAAUUCCCCAGACCGCAAUAGGCGAUUCCUAUUUUUUCACGGACAUCAGGUCCUCCAUGGGGUACUUAAGGUUGGUGAAAAAAGAUUUUUUUAAUUCUUUCACGCUGAUACUGGCUGGGAUGAGGAGUUUGAAAUGGAGAGACAGUUUCCUAUUCCUAAAACUAUAGUGUUUCGAUAACGAUUAUAGGUUUUUCUUUUGUAACAGAAUCCAGCCAUAAGUGCAUUAUUCUUUAGUUUACACUUAACUUGAAAAAAGGACCACAAAAGAUAUGCAGACCAUUUAAUCUCAGUGAAG